This is a long non-coding RNA of Pezoporus flaviventris, 814 nucleotides long. RefSeq lists it as uncharacterized. NCBI's taxonomy places the organism in Eukaryota, Metazoa, Chordata, Aves, Psittaciformes, Psittacidae. The record is from RefSeq and is a predicted model, not a curated record. The transcript has 2 exons.
CUUGAAGAUCAUUUACCUGCCUCUAAUUUAGGUCCAUUUAAGCUGUUCACAUUUUAUUACUGAUCAGUUCCCUGCAUUUAGCUAAUUUCACAAAUGGAAAUGCUCUGGAUGGAGAUAAGCAUGAUUUCUGUGUAGUGGGUAGUAAAAUUCAAAUGACUUUCUCAACUGUUUAAAUAGCAACAGAUCUAUCACGGAAUUCAGUACCAAAAAAGUAAAGAAAGAAUUUUCUUUGACUGUAGCAAAAUCCAAAGAAGCCUACAGUGUAGGAUUUUAUGGUAGAUCAGAUCUAGAAAGCAAUAAUGUUGUUGUUUUGUAGCAUUCACUAUGAAAAAUGUCUACAGGCUUAAAGACAUAUAUAGAAGUUUUCAUGUUUGCAAAAAACAUCUUGUGGAACAGGGUGUAACAAUUUAUCAAGAUUCAAGACACAAGUUUGACUAAAGGAUCAGGAUCAGCUCUGGAGAUGACUGCUUUCAAAGCUGAAACUGUGUUAAAUAUGUCAGCUAAUUUCAACACCAGCAUGAAAGAGUUGAAGGUUAUGAAAUAACAGCUGAACCAGAGGUUGAGACAAUGCUCAGGAAAAGCUCCCCUACCAAGCAUAUAUUGAUUCAAAUCUGUGAUGUUCCUCAGUCAAUGCAGAGAGACAUACCAGUAGAAAAAAUGCCUACUUUGAGGCAUGUCUACUGGACAAGAGGAUAGUGAGAAUGACAUUAUUCUCAUGGAGCAACCUCAAAAGGCUGGGAUUAAAUACACUGCUGUCCCAAGAAGAAAGGAAACAAAGAAAUCAGAGAAAAGAAUAAGCCCUAGAAAAUUAGAA